CCUGCUGCUGCCACAACACUCGUGCUUAAGUCGGGACGUGAUUUUUUAUUCACACCUCGCCUUACUCGGAUUCUGCGUAUCAAAUUCAAGAAGCGAAAGUCGUUAAAAUGGCAUUCCGUUUUUACUUCACAGUUGAUUAGUCACAUACAAUAGACUGCUUCACGUGUAAAUUAUUUAGAAUCAGUUACAGCAAUGACAUCACGCGUUGUAAGUUGGAGCUUAGUAGUAAUGCAUCGUUAAACUGAGUUUCAUCUUAUUCAGUCAGAGCAAACUUGGUGAAGUUUGCCAAACAUGAUGAAUUUAUGUGAAUGGAAGAUUCAGGUACUUUGAAACGAAAAACAGAGAGUAAUUCCCCCUUGAGAAUGAAGACUCAUUUUUCGAUAGUUGAUGUUGGAGCAAUGUGACGAGAAACUAUCAAAUUUCGAAGCUGUAAUGUGUUUAAGGAUUGUUAUCAACACAGAAAUCAUUGGAAGGAACCAUUUUUGAAGAUUCCUUACAAAGCAGUCAUUGCACAGGAUUAGGCGUACACACCUGUUUCGGUUUCAAAGGAUAUAACUACUCUUAUUUCACCACAGCCCACUAUAGCCUAUUAACUAAAGUAAGCCAUGGCAAAUCACAAUUAUGUAUAAAUUUUACAAAUAACAACAUAUUUUUAUAAGUUUUUUUAGCGCCUAUUAAAUUCUAGACUCUGAUUGGUACAUCAAUAUUUUCUUGUACAAAUGUACUUCUGUAUUACUACGCACA
This 744-nucleotide unclassified non-coding RNA is filed under the name Nilaparvata lugens (brown planthopper). Its description in RNAcentral is "uncharacterized LOC111043446, transcript variant X5". The record is from RNAcentral. Lineage: Eukaryota; Metazoa; Arthropoda; Insecta; Hemiptera; Delphacidae.